RNAcentral lists this ribosomal RNA (440 nucleotides) under uncultured bacterium. Its description in RNAcentral is "partial 16S ribosomal RNA". It matches the Rfam family "Bacterial small subunit ribosomal RNA", at positions 338 to 795 of the family's 1533-position model. The record is from RNAcentral.
CCUACGGGAGGCAGCAGUGGGGGAUAUUGCACAAUGGGGGAAACCCUGAUGCAGCGACGCCGCGUGUGGGAAGACGGUCCUCUGGAUUGUAAACCACUGUCCCCAGGGACGAAGAUGACGGUACCUGGGGAGGAUGCUCCGGCUAACUACGUGCCAGCAGCCGCGGUAAUACGUAGGGAGCGAGCGUUGUCCGGAAUUACUGGGGGUAAAGGGAGCGUAGGCGGGACGGCAAGUCGUGUGUCAAAUCUACCUGCUCAACCGGUAUCCGCACUCAAAACUGCAGUUCUUGAGGGAAGUAGAGGCAGGCGGAAGUCCUAGUGUAGCGGUGAAAUGCGGAGAUAUUAGGAGGAACACCAGUGGCGAAGGCGGCCUGCUGGGCUUUUACUGACGCUGAGGCUCGAAAGUGUGGGGAGCAAACAGGAUUAGAUACCCGGGUGGUC